UCCUACGGGGGGCAGCAGUGAGGAAUAUUGGUCAAUGGGCGAGAGCCUGAACCAGCCAAGUCGCGUGAAGGAUGACGGCCCUACGGGUUGUAAACUUCUUUUGUCAGGGAGCAAUUGAGUCCACGUGUGGGCUUAGCGAGAGUACCUGAAGAAAAAGCAUCGGCUAACUCCGUGCCAGCAGCCGCGGUAAUACGGAGGAUACGAGCGUUAUCCGGAUUUAUUGGGUUUAAAGGGGGCGUAGGCGGAAUAUCAAGUCAUCGGUAAAAAUUCGGGGCUCAACCCCGUCGUGCCGUUGAAACUGCUGU
Molecule: ribosomal RNA, 305 nt
Filed under: uncultured bacterium
Lineage: Bacteria
Description: bacterial SSU rRNA
Rfam family: Bacterial small subunit ribosomal RNA
Source: RNAcentral